CCUACGGGUGGCAGCAGUGAGGAAUAUUGGUCAAUGGCCGGAAGGCUGAACCAGCCAUGCCGCGUGAAGGUCAGUGCCCUAUGGGCGUUAAACUUCUUUUGUGCGGGAGCAAUAAUGGUCACGUGUGGCCAGACGAUAGUACCGUACGAAUAAGCAUCGGCUAACUCCGUGCCAGCCGCCGCGGGUAUAUGGGGGAUGCAAGCGUUAUCCGGAUUUAUUGGGGUUAAAGGGUGCGUAGGCUGGGAGGUAAGUCAGCGGUGAAAUGCCCCCGCUCAACGGGGUGAAGUGCCAUUGAUACUGGCUGGCUGGAAUGCGGAUGCGGUGGGAGGAAUGUGUGGUGUAGCGGUGAAAUGCAUAGAUAUCACACAGAACACCGAUUGCGAAGGCAUCUCACGAAUCCGCGAUUGACGCUGAUGCACGAAAGCGUGGGUAUCAAACAGGAUUAGAUACCCGGGUAGUC
This 460-nucleotide ribosomal RNA is filed under the name uncultured bacterium. Its description in RNAcentral is "partial 16S ribosomal RNA". It matches the Rfam family "Bacterial small subunit ribosomal RNA", at positions 338 to 795 of the family's 1533-position model. The record is from RNAcentral.